GGUUCCAGUUCUUUGGUAAGUAAAUUGUGAUGGCAUUAACAAAAGAAAACAGGCAAUCCUGUAAACCUUUGUUACCUAAAUCACUGAUUUUGGGCAUUCCUCUACUCUUCUGCGACCUACAGUAACUUUAGGAGCAGCAGCGUGCUCUGCUCUGGAUACCCCCUCCACCCUGUCGUUACUUCAAAUUAGCCUUGUGUUGCUCCUCAAAGGGUUUGGGGAAUGUAGACUGAAGCUCCCUUGAGCAACUCCUAAACAAAUUUCUCUGCAGUUUUAUGGCUAUACUAGAGCUUGGUGGUUGCUCCAAUCGUUAUUUGUGGUGCUAUUAUAAGUUGAUGGUCCUUCCUUAUCCCAUGUAUAUACCAAAUUUUAGAAUCUUAUCUUCUUUCCCAUAGAAAUAAAUAUAGGAAAUACCACAGAGAUGAACAAAAGUUGCUGAAACAACCAGUAAUUCAGAAGUUGUACACCAAAACACAGAAAGCUCACGGAAGGAGGAAUUUCGGAUUGAGGAAUGGAUAAAAUUCCAAUGAUAGCAAUUCCAAUAGUAGGAAUAGUUGCAGUCGCCGUGACUUUCUAUGCAGUGAGCUUUAAUGAGAUUCGCGAGAAAUCUUUCAAGGAUUAUGAAGAUUCAGAAAAUGAUGGAGCAUUCAAGUCUUCAUUGAGUUCCAGGGAAAGAAGAGCCAGAAAAAAAGCUGACAAACAAAAUAGAAGGAAUUAGUCAUGACCACAUACAAAAUACUAUAGCUCAUUCUGCAAUCUUGCAGUCCCUUGAUUAUUUUCUUCCGUUGGUGUGUUUGUGCUUGCAAUUGUGUGGCUAUCCGUCUUUGAUUUGUUAGCGUUGGACAUCUGGAAUAAAUGGGAAAUUCCAUAUUCGUCUAUUCCCGUAUUAAUCUUUGGAUACCAGUUAACAGCAUUUGGGUUGUGGUGGUGGCGGUACGCUAUUGUCAGCCCCCUCAGCAUCAAGGUAAAAUCUUGUUCGGAAUUAGUAUUUUUAUUCGGAAUAGUCCUAGUAAUCUUGUUUGUCGUUUCAUUUUGUGUUUCCUACAUGUUCCAUAUCCCAAGUUAAUCCACAUUUGUCCCUGAUGUACUACAGCCAUUAAGGUUUGGUAUUCAUGCAGUAAAUUAUAGUCUUCAUUGCGGAACAAAGUAACAGCUUCAUCCCCAUUCAGAGAAAUGAACCAAGGGAGAACAGAAGUAACAUUCAUCGGUUACCUCCUCCAAGGGGUGUCCUUACGACAAAAAUUGAUGGCUGGCUCAUAUGAUAAUAAUGUUACAAAAUCUGGUGGUAUGGCUGGCCAAAAACAUAAGAUAAAAUAAAUAAGUCCACAGAAAAACCAGAAACACAGGCAGGUACUUAACCAACAGUGUAUCCCUCAAUUUUUCCCAGAGUAAAACAUAUUGUACCUGCAAAUUUUAAUCUUCCCAGUAUUGUCGUCAGUGCAUAUGCAACCAUCUCCAUUGUUCACUAUUUGUACCUGUGGGAGAAUAUGACGCACAAGCAUGGCAAUACCAAUACCAAUACCAAAUUCAUAUUCAUCAACUCCACUUGACGAAGCAAGCCAUGCCUCGCUGUGAGGAAAUUCAGAAUUUCUUACCAGCUUAA
Papaver somniferum (opium poppy) is the source of this 1600-nucleotide RNA transcript. RefSeq lists it as uncharacterized. The transcript has 3 exons. NCBI's taxonomy places the organism in Eukaryota, Viridiplantae, Streptophyta, Magnoliopsida, Ranunculales, Papaveraceae. The record is from RefSeq and is a predicted model, not a curated record.